This 519-nucleotide ribosomal RNA is filed under the name uncultured bacterium. Its description in RNAcentral is "partial 16S ribosomal RNA". It matches the Rfam family "Bacterial small subunit ribosomal RNA", at positions 29 to 523 of the family's 1533-position model. The record is from RNAcentral.
AACAAACGCUGGCGGCGUGCCUAACACAUGCAAGUCGUACGAGAAAGUCGGCUUCGGCCGAUGAGUACAGAGGCGCACGGGUGAGUAGCGCGUGGGUAAUCUGCCCCUCGGUCAGGAAUAACGCGCCGAAAGGCGGGCUAAUAACCGAUAACACUGACGCGCUGCGCCGUGUCUUUCAAAGAAGGCCUCUGUUUACACUCUUUCUCCGGGUGAUGAGCCCGCGUACCAUUAGCUAGGUGGCAGGGUAAUGGCCUACCAAGGCAACGAUGGUUAGCUAGUCUGAGAGGAUGGCCAGCCACACUGGAACUGAGACACGGUCCAGACUCCUACGGGAGGCAGCAGUGAGGAAUCUUGCGCAAUGGGGGAAACCCUGACGCAGCAACGCCGCGUGAGUGAGGAAGGCUUUCGGGUCGUAAAGCUCUGUCAGAUGGGAAGAAAUGGAUGGAAGCCAAUACCUUUCAUUCUCGACGGUACCAUCAGAGGAAGCACCGGCUAACUCCGUGCCAGCAGCCGCAGUAA